Molecule: ribosomal RNA, 883 nt
Filed under: uncultured bacterium
Lineage: Bacteria
Description: bacterial SSU rRNA
Rfam family: Bacterial small subunit ribosomal RNA
Source: RNAcentral
GACGAACGCUGGCGGCGUGCUUAACACAUGCAAGUGGAGCGACGAACCAGGGCUUGCCCUGGGGCAAAGCCGCGAACGGGUGAGUAACACGUGGGUAACCUGCCCUGUUGACUGGGACAACCCGAGGAAACUCGGGCUAAUACCAGAUGUGCUCCCGCCACAUCAGUGGCGUGAGGAAAGGAAGCUUCGGCCUCCGCAACGGGAUGGGCCCGCGGCCCAUUAGCUUGUUGGUGGGGUAACGGCCCACCAAGGCUGCGAUGGGUAGCUGGUCUGAGAGGACGAUCAGCCACACUGGGACUGAGACACGGCCCAGACUCCUACGGGAGGCAGCAGUGGGGAAUCUUGCGCAAUGCGCGAAAGCGUGACGCAGCAACGCCGCGUGAGGGAAGACGGCCUUCGGGUUGUAAACCUCUUUCAGUUGGGACGAAGCCUUGCCGGUUAAUAGCCGGCGGAGGUGACGGUACCUUCAGAAGAAGCCCCGGCUAACUACGUGCCAGCAGCCGCGGUAAUACGUAGGGGGCAAGCGUUGUCCGGAAUCAUUGGGCGUAAAGCGCGUGUAGGCGGCUUGGUAAGUCCGCUCUGAAAGCCCGGGGCUCAACCCCGGGAGGCGGGUGGAUACUGUCAAGCUCGAGUCCGAAAGAGGCGAGUGGAAUUCCCGGUGUAGCGGUGAAAUGCGCAGAUAUCGGGAGGAACACCAAUGGCGAAGGCAGCUCGCUGGGACGUGACUGACGCUGAGACGCGAAAGCGUGGGGAGCAAACAGGAUUAGAUACCCUGGUAGUCCACGCCGUAAACGAUGGGCACUAGGUGUGGGAGGUGUCGACUCCUCCCGUGCCGAAGCUAACGCAUUAAGUGCCCCGCCUGGGGAGUACGGCCGCAAGGCUA